This 2068-nucleotide long non-coding RNA is filed under the name Homo sapiens (human). Its description in RNAcentral is "HSALNT0142241". Lineage: Eukaryota; Metazoa; Chordata; Mammalia; Primates; Hominidae. The record is from RNAcentral.
UCUUGAUAUGAUGUCAAAUCCAGGUAUGUGGGUCACUUAGCUUAUUUUUUUAUUUUUGUGAAGGUGGCUUCUUGUGUGGAUAGUUUUUCAAUUUAGUGCUCCUAUUGGAGAGGACAGUUGCUGGACUGUUCUAUUUGGCCAUUUUGCUCCACUUCCUUCUCCUCUUUUUCUUUCUUUCUUUUUAUUUUUAAUUUUACUUUAAGUUCUGGGAUAUAUAUGCAGCACAUGCAGGUUUGUUACAUAGGUAUACAUGUGCCAUGGUGGUUUGUUGCACCUAUCAAUUCGUCAUCUAGGUUUUAAGCCCCACAUGCAUUAGGUAUUUGUCCUAAUGCUCUCCCUCCCUUAACCCCCACCCCCCCAACAGGCCCAGGUGUGUGAUGUUCCCCUUCCUGUGUCCAUGUAUUGUCAUUGUUCAACUCCUACUUAUGAGUGAGAACAUGCAGUGUUUGGUUUUCUGUUCCUAUGUUAGUUUGCUGAGAAUGAUGGCUUACAGCUUUUUCCAUGUCCCUGCAAAAGACAUGAACUCAUUCUUUUUUAUGGCUGCAUAGUAUUCCAUGGUGUAUAUGCACCACAUGUUCUUUAUCCAGUCUAUUAUUGAUGGACAUUUGGGUUGUUCCAAGUCUUUGCUAUUAUAAAUAGUGCUGCAAUAAACAUACGUGUGCAUGUGUCUUUGUAGUAGAAUAUAUAUAUUUCUUUAAUUAUAACAUCAUUUGACCAUCAGCACCUGGAAUGUUGUCUUUCUCCCAUUCUUUACCUUGUUUGCUUUUAUAACCUAAAAAUUCUCUUUUUAAUUUUCUAUCACUUUAUUAUUUUGUAAUUAUUUCUGGAUAAUAUCCUCAAGCUUAUUUUGCAAUUAAUGAAAUACCUUCCUUUAUUUAGACUACUCUUUAACACAUCCGUUGAGUACAGUUAUUGCAAGAACUAUGCUUUUUAUUCCAAGGAUUUCUAUUUGGUUUUGUUAUAUAACUAACUAUCUGUUCAUAUUCAGUUCUGUUCUCAUCUCAUUCUUUAUCUUCCUUCAUCAUUUUCUUUUUUUGAGAUGGAGUUUCUCUCUUGUCCAGGCUGGAGUCCAAUGGCACAAUCUCGGCUCACAGCAACCACCCUCUCCCAGGUACCAGUGAUUCUCCUGCCUCAGCAUCCCAAGUAGCUGGGAUUAUAGGCAUGCGCUACCAUGCCUGGCUAAUUUUUGUAUUUUCAGUAGAGACAGGGUUUCACCAUGCUGGUCAGGCUGAUCUAGAACUCCUGACCUCAGGUGAUCUGCCCUUCUCAGCCUCCCAAGGUUCUGGGAUUAUAGGUGUGAGCCACCGUGUCCAGCCUCUUCAUCAAUUUUUAAUCUUAAUUGUAAUAUUUGUAAACACAUUUAGAUUAUUAUUUAUUGAUGUGGAAUAUAAAUUAUUCUUUAAUAUUCUGAAUUUCCCAACAUUGUUCAAUUUUUCACACUAUACAUUUUUUUAAAUUUGUGGUGUGCUUAUCUGGAGUGUGUGAUUAUGCAUUGGUGGGCGUAGGGGCUGCAGUAUUUUGAAGAAGUCCUAUAUGUAUGUGUUGUAAGUGGAUCUUAUUAAACACCACCAAGGCAAUACUUCUAAUAGUCUGCAAGCUUUACAGCAUUAUUGGGUUUGGGGUGCUCCCUAAUGCAGAUAUGGCUGCAGAGACCAAAUACUUAGAUCACAAUAUUCAAUUCCCUUUGAACGCUUGGAAAUCUUUCUCAAGAUAGACAAGUGCAAACAAGCCCAGUAUGCAAAGAUUACAAUAAAUAACCUAACUCUUCAAUGCCCAACAUCAAAAAACCAUCCACAAGCAUUAAUACUAUACAUAAGAAUAUGACCUCACCAAAUGUACUAAAUAAGGAACCAGUGACUAAUCCCAGAGUGACAGAUAUGUGAGCUUUCAGACAGAGAAUUCAAAACAGCUGUUUUGAGGAGGUUCAGACAAAUUCAAGAUAACAUAGAGAAGGAAUUUAGAAUCCUAUCAGAUUCUUACAAUGGGUUAUAAGAUAUUAUUUAUGAUAACCACAUGUAGCCUCAUGGUAACCACAAAUCAAAAUGCCUGCAACAGAUACACAAAAAAU